RNAcentral lists this ribosomal RNA (468 nucleotides) under uncultured bacterium. RNAcentral's name for it is "partial 16S ribosomal RNA". It matches the Rfam family "Bacterial small subunit ribosomal RNA", at positions 28 to 507 of the family's 1533-position model. The record is from RNAcentral.
GACGAACGCUGGCGGCGUGCUUAACACAUGCAAGUCGAACGGAAAGGCCCUGCUUUUGUGGGGUGCUCGAGUGGCGAACGGGUGAGUAACACGUGAGUAACCUGCCCUUGACUUUGGGAUAACUUCAGGAAACUGGGGCUAAUACCGGAUAGGAGCUCCUGCUGCAUGGUGGGGGUUGGAAAGUUUCGGCGGUUGGGGAUGGACUGGCGGCUUAUCAGCUUGUUGGUGGGGUAGUGGCUUACCAAGGCUUUGACGGGUAGCCGGCCUGAGAGGGGGACCGGCGACAUGGGGCCUGAGAUACGGACCAGACUCCUACGGGAGGCAGCAGUGGGGAGUAUGGCACAAUGGGCGGAAGCCUGAUGCAGCAACGCCGCGUUCGGGAUGACGGCCUUCUGGUUGUAAACCGCUGUCGCCUGUGACGAAGCGUGAGUGACGGUAAUGGGUAAAGAAGCACCGGCUAACUACGUG